UACGGAGGGUGCAAGCGUUGCUCGGAAUCACUGGGCGUAAAGAGCGUGUAGGCGGGUUCGUAUGUCUGACGUGAAAGCCCCGGGCUCACCCCGGGAAGUGCGUUGGAAACUGCGAGACUAGAGUCCCGGAGAGGAAGGUGGAAUUCCAGGUGUAGCGGUGAAAUGCGUAGAUAUCUGGAAGAACACCGGUGGCGAAGGCGGCCUUCUGGACGGUGACUGACGCUGAGACGCGAAAGCGUGGGGAGCAAACAGG
RNAcentral lists this ribosomal RNA (253 nucleotides) under uncultured bacterium. RNAcentral's name for it is "partial 16S ribosomal RNA". It matches the Rfam family "Bacterial small subunit ribosomal RNA", at positions 524 to 776 of the family's 1533-position model. The record is from RNAcentral.